This 381-nucleotide ribosomal RNA is filed under the name uncultured eukaryote. RNAcentral's name for it is "partial 18S ribosomal RNA". It matches the Rfam family "Eukaryotic small subunit ribosomal RNA", at positions 592 to 975 of the family's 1831-position model. The record is from RNAcentral.
CAAUAGCGUAUAUUAAAGUUGUUGCAGUUAAAAAGCUCGUAGUUGGAUUUCUGGUUGAAGCGACCGGUCGGGCGUUGAUUCGUCCGCACUGGAGUCGGUUUUGGCCAUCCUCUAGGAAAGUGCGUCUGGUAUUAAGUUAUCGGGCGUAUGAUCCUGGUCUUUUACUGUGAAAAAAUUAGAGUGUUUAAAGCAGGCCUUCGCCUUGAAUACAUUAGCAUGGAAUAAUAAGAUAGGACUUUGGUCUAUUUUGUUGGUUUGCAGACCGAAGUAAUGAUUAAUAGGGAUAGUUGGGGGUAUUUAUAUUCCGAUGUCAGAGGUGAAAUUCUUAGAUUUUCGGAAGAUAAACUUAUGCGAANGNAUUUACNAAGGAUGUUUNCAUUA